This 497-nucleotide ribosomal RNA is filed under the name uncultured bacterium. RNAcentral's name for it is "partial 16S ribosomal RNA". It matches the Rfam family "Bacterial small subunit ribosomal RNA", at positions 28 to 507 of the family's 1533-position model. The record is from RNAcentral.
GAUGAACGCUGGCGGCGUGCCUAAUACAUGCAAGUCGAGCGAACGGACGAGAAGCUUGCUUCUCUGAUUUUAGCGGCGGACGGGUGAGUAACACGUGGAUAACCUACCUAUAAGACUGGGAUAACUUCGGGAAACCGGAUCUAAUACCGGAUAAUAUUUUGAACCGCAUUGGUCAAAAGUAAAAGACGCUUUUUCUGUCACUAAUAGCUGGAUCCGCGCUGCAUUAGCUAGUUGGUAAGGUAACGGCUUACCAAGGCAACGAUGCAUAGCCGACCUGAGAGGGUGAUCGGCCACCCUGGAUCUGAGACACGGUCCAGACUCCUACGGGAGGACGCAGUAGAGAAUCUUCCGCGAUGGGCGAAAGCCUGACGGAGCAACGCCGCGUGAGUGAUGAAGGUCUUCUGAUCGUAAAACUCUGUUAUUAGGGAAGAACAAAUGCGUAAGUAACUGUGCACAUCUUGACGGUACCUAAUCAGAAAGCCCCGGCUAACUACGUG